UACGUAGGGGGCAAGCGUUAUCCGGAAUCAUUGGGCGUAAAGCGCGUGUAGGCGGUUCCGUAAGUCCGCUCUGAAAGCCCAGGGCUCAACCCUGGGAGGCGGGUGGAUACUACGGAACUGGAGUACGGAAGAGGAGAGCGGAAUUCCUGGUGUAGCGGUGGAAUGCGCAGAUAUCAGGAGGAACACCCGUGGCGAAGGCGGCUCUCUGGGACGGUACUGACACUGAGACGCGAAAGCGUGGGGAGCGAACAGG
RNAcentral lists this ribosomal RNA (253 nucleotides) under uncultured bacterium. RNAcentral's name for it is "partial 16S ribosomal RNA". It matches the Rfam family "Bacterial small subunit ribosomal RNA", at positions 524 to 776 of the family's 1533-position model. The record is from RNAcentral.